CCUACGGGAGGCAGCAGUAGGGAAUAUUCCACAAUGGAGGAAACCCUGAUCGAGCGACGCCGCGUGAGUGAAGAAGUAAUUCGGUAUGUAAAGCUCUGUCAGCAGGGAAGAAAGUGACGGUACCUGGGUAAUAAGCCCCGGCUAACUACGUGCCAGCAGCCGCGGGAAUACGUAGGGGGCAGGCGUUAUCCGGAUUUGCUGGGUGUAAAGGGAGCGUAGACGGCAGAGCAAUGCUGGAGUGAAAGGCGGGGGCUCAACCCCCGGACUGCUCUGGAAACUGUACGGCUGGAGUGCAGGAGAGGUAAGUGGAAUUCCUAGUGUAGCGGUGAAAUGCGUAGAUAUUAGGAGGAACACCAGUGGCGAAGGCGGCUCACUGGACUGUAACUGACGUUGAGGCUCGAAAGCGUGGGGAGCAAACAGGAUUAGAUACCCCUGUAGUC
RNAcentral lists this ribosomal RNA (440 nucleotides) under uncultured bacterium. RNAcentral describes it as "partial 16S ribosomal RNA". It matches the Rfam family "Bacterial small subunit ribosomal RNA", at positions 338 to 795 of the family's 1533-position model. The record is from RNAcentral.